AACGCAUAUUGCGCCCUUUGGUAUUCUGAAGGGCAUGCCUGUUCGAGCGUCAUUAUCACUGUAUCAAGCUUGGCUUGUUGUUGGGCCCUGUGUCACCAGGUGACAGGUCCAAAAGAUAAUAACCGGUGUCAUACCGACUCUCUAUGCAACGAGCUGACCACAGCACGCAUUUAGUAGUUAUAUGACCCGGUUCUGGUGCCCUUAUUUUUCCAGGUUGACCUCGGAUCAGGUAGGAAUACCCGCUGAACUUAA
Molecule: unclassified non-coding RNA, 252 nt
Filed under: uncultured fungus
Lineage: Eukaryota; Fungi
Description: partial contains 5.8S ribosomal RNA, internal transcribed spacer 2, and large subunit ribosomal RNA
Source: RNAcentral